This 22-nucleotide non-coding RNA is filed under the name Arabidopsis thaliana (thale cress). The record is from RNAcentral. Lineage: Eukaryota; Viridiplantae; Streptophyta; Magnoliopsida; Brassicales; Brassicaceae.
GAUGACUAUGGUGUUUAUCAUC